UAGGGAAUCUUCGGCAAUGGGGGGAACCCUGACCGAGCAACGCCGCGUGAGUGAAGAAGGUUUUCGGAUCGUAAAGCUCUGUUGUUAAGGAAGAACGAGUGUGAGAAUGGAAAGUUCAUACUGUGACGGUACUUAACCAGAAAGGGACGGCUAACUACGUGCCAGCAGCCGCGGUAAUACGUAGGUCCCGAGCGUUGUCCGGAUUUAUUGGGCGUAAAGCGAGCGCAGGCGGUUAGAUAAGUCUGAAGUUAAAGGCAGUGGCUCAACCAUUGUAGGCUUUGGAAACUGUUUAACUUGAGUGCAGAGGGGGAGAGUGGAAUUCCAUGUGUAGCGGUGAAAUGCGUAGAUAUAUGGAGGAACACCGGUGGCGAAAGCGGCUCUCUGGUCUGUAACUGACGCUGAGGCUCGAAAGCGUGGGGAGCGAACAGG
RNAcentral lists this ribosomal RNA (429 nucleotides) under Bacteroidota bacterium. RNAcentral describes it as "Bacteroidetes bacterium partial 16S ribosomal RNA". It matches the Rfam family "Bacterial small subunit ribosomal RNA", at positions 355 to 776 of the family's 1533-position model. Lineage: Bacteria; Pseudomonadati; Bacteroidota. The record is from RNAcentral.